Molecule: ribosomal RNA, 253 nt
Filed under: uncultured bacterium
Lineage: Bacteria
Description: partial 16S ribosomal RNA
Rfam family: Bacterial small subunit ribosomal RNA
Source: RNAcentral
UACAGAGGGUGCAAGCGUUAAUCGGAUUUACUGGACGUAAAGCGCGCGUAGGUGGCCAAUUAAGUCAAAUGUGAAAUCCCCGAGCUUAACUUGGGAAUUGCAUUCGAUACUGGUUGGCUAAAGUAUGGGAGAGGAUGGUAGAAUUCCAGGUGUAGCGGUGAAAUGCGUAGAGAUCUGGAGGAAUACCGAUGGCGAAGGCAGCCAUCUGGCCUAAUACUGACACUGAGGUGCGAAAGCAUGGGGAGCAAACAGG